GACGAACGCUGGCGGCGUGCCUAAUACAUGCAAGUAGAACGCACAGUUUAUACCGUAGCUUGUUACACCAUAGACUGUGAGUUGCGAAUGGGUGAGUAACGCGUAGGUAAUAUGCCUGGUAGCGGGGCAUAAAUACUGGAAACGAUAGCUAUUACAGCAUAAUAUUAAUUAUUGCAUAAUAAUUAAUUGUAAGGCUCAAUUGUACAACUACCAGCUGGACCUGCGUUGUAUUAGCUAGUAGGGCAGGUAACGGCUCACCUAGGCGAAGGUACACCGCCGAACUUGGAGGGUGGAUGGCCACACUGGGACUGAGACACGGCCCAGACCUCUACGGGAGGCAACAGUAAGGAAUCUUCGGCAAUGGACGGAAGGCUGGCCGGGCAACGGCGCGGGAGUGAAGGAAGGUUUCGGAUCGUAAAGCUCUGUUGAAAGGGAAGAACGAGAUUUGGAGUGGAAAGUUCACACUGUGACGGUAUCUAACCAGAAAGGGACGGCUAACUACGUG
RNAcentral lists this ribosomal RNA (505 nucleotides) under uncultured bacterium. Its description in RNAcentral is "partial 16S ribosomal RNA". It matches the Rfam family "Bacterial small subunit ribosomal RNA", at positions 28 to 507 of the family's 1533-position model. The record is from RNAcentral.